RNAcentral lists this transfer RNA (72 nucleotides) under Paramuricea clavata. It matches the Rfam family "tRNA". From Rfam's summary of the family: Transfer RNA (tRNA) molecules are approximately 80 nucleotides in length. Their secondary structure includes four short double-helical elements and three loops (D, anti-codon, and T loops). Further hydrogen bonds mediate the characteristic L-shaped molecular structure. tRNAs have two regions of fundamental functional importance: the anti-codon, which is responsible for specific mRNA codon recognition, and the 3' end, to which the tRNAs corresponding amino acid is attached (by aminoacyl-tRNA synthetases). tRNAs cope with the degeneracy of the genetic code in two manners: having more than one tRNA (with a specific anti-codon) for a particular amino acid; and 'wobble' base-pairing, i.e. permitting non-standard base-pairing at the 3rd anti-codon position. Lineage: Eukaryota; Metazoa; Cnidaria; Anthozoa; Malacalcyonacea; Plexauridae. The record is from Rfam by way of RNAcentral.
UCCCAUGUGGUCAAGUGGUUAGGAUCUGGAGCUCUCACCGACAUGGCCCGGGUUCAAUUCCCGGCAUGGGAA